AGAGUUUGAUCCUGGCUCAGGAUUAACGCUAGCGGAAGGCAUAAUACAUGCAAGUCGAACGGGAUAGAACUUAGCAAUAGGUUCUUGAGAGUGGCGCACGGGUGCGUAACACGUAUGCAACCUACCUUUAACUGGGGGAUAGCCUCUCGAAAGAGAGAUUAAUACCCCAUAAUAUAACUAAUGAGCAUUUUUUGGUUAUUAAAGAUUUAUCGGUUAAAGAUGGGCAUGCGGCUGAUUAGGUAGUUGGUGAGGUAACGGCUCACCAAGCCAACGAUCAGUAGGGGGUCUGAGAGGAUGUCCCCCCACACUGGUACUGAGACACGGACCAGACUCCUACGGGAGGCAGCAGUAGGGAAUAUUGGACAAUGGGGGCAACCCUGAUCCAGCCAUUCCGCGUGCAGGAAUAAGGCCCUAUGGGUCGUAAACUGCUUUUGUAUGGGAAAAAAUCAUCUUACGUGUAGGAUGUUGAUGGUACCAUGAGAAUAAGGAUCGGCUAACUUCGUGCCAGCAGCCGCGGUAAUACGAAGGAUCCAAGCGUUGUCCGGAUUUACUGGGUUUAAAGGGUGCGUAGGCGGNGAAUUAAGUCAGUGGUGAAAGCUGGUAG
RNAcentral lists this ribosomal RNA (604 nucleotides) under uncultured freshwater bacterium. RNAcentral describes it as "bacterial SSU rRNA". It matches the Rfam family "Bacterial small subunit ribosomal RNA", at positions 8 to 607 of the family's 1533-position model. The record is from RNAcentral.